AGAGUUUGAUCCUGGCUCAGGACGAACGCUGGCGGCACGCUUAACACAUGCAAGUCGAACGAGAGAAGAGGAGCUUGCUUUUCUGAUCUAGUGGCGGACGGGUGAGUAACACGUGAGCAAUCUGCCUUUCAGAGGGGGAUACCGAUUGGAAACGAUCGUUAAUACCGCAUAACAUAAUUGAACCGCAUGAUUUGAUUAUCAAAGAUUUAUCGCUGAAAGAUGAGCUCGCGUCUGAUUAGCUAGUUGGUAAGGUAACGGCUUACCAAGGCGACGAUCAGUAGCCGGACUGAGAGGUUGAUCGGCCACAUUGGGACUGAGACACGGCCCAGACUCCUACGGGAGGCAGCAGUGGGGAAUAUUGCACAAUGGAGGAAACUCUGAUGCAGCGAUGCCGCGUGAGGGAAGAAGGUUUUAGGAUUGUAAACCUCUGUCUUCAGGGACGAAAAAAGACGGUACCUGAGGAGGAAGCUCCGGCUAACUACGUGCCAGCAGCCGCGGUAAUACGUAGGGAGCGUGCGUUGUCCGGAAUUACUGGGUGUAAAGGGAGCGUAGGCGGGAUCGCAAGUCAGAUGUGAAAACUAUGGGCUUAACCCAUAAACUGCAUUUGAAACUGUGGUUCUUGAGUGAAGUAGAGGUAAGCGGAAUCCCUAGUGUAGCGGUGAGAUGCGUAGAUAUUAGGAGGAACAUCAGUGGCGAAGGCGGCUUACUGGGCUUUAACUGACGCUGAGGCUCGAAAGCGUGGGGAGCAAACAGGAUUAGAUACCCUGGUAGUCCACGCCGUAAACGAUGAUUACUAGGUGUGGGGGGACUGACCCCUUCCGUGCCGCAGCAAACGCAAUAAGUAAUCCACCUGGGGAGUACGACCGCAAGGUUGAAACUCAAAGGAAUUGACGGGGGCCCGCACAAGCAGUGGAGUAUGUGGAUUAAUUCGAAGCAACGCGAAGAACCUUACCAGGUCUUGACAUCGUAUGCAUAGCUCAGAGAUGAGUGAAAUCUCUUCGGAGACAUAUAGACAGGUGGUGCAUGGUUGUCGUCAGCUCGUGUCGUGAGAUGUUGGGUUAAGUCCCGCAACGAGCGCAACCCUUACUGUUAGUUGCUACGCAAGAGCACUCUAGCAGGACUGCCGUUGACAAAACGGAGGAAGGUGGGGAUGACGUCAAAUCAUCAUGCCCCUUAUGACCUGGGCCUCACACGUACUACAAUGGCUGUCAACAGAGGGAAGCAAAGCCGCGAGGUGGAGCGAACCCCUAAAAGCAGUCUUAGUUCGGAUUGUAGGCUGCAACCCGCCUACAUGAAGUCGGAAUUGCUAGUAAUCGCAGAUCAGCAUGCUGCGGUGAAUACGUUCCCGGGCCUUGUACACACCGCCCGUCACGCCAUGGGAGUCGGUAACACCCGAAGCCUGUAGUCUAACCGCAAGGAGGACGCAGUCGAAGGUGGGAUUGAUGACUGGGGUGAAGUCGUAACAAGGUA
Molecule: ribosomal RNA, 1470 nt
Filed under: metagenome
Description: bacterial SSU rRNA
Rfam family: Bacterial small subunit ribosomal RNA
Source: RNAcentral